Molecule: long non-coding RNA, 995 nt
Organism: Esox lucius (northern pike)
Lineage: Eukaryota; Metazoa; Chordata; Actinopteri; Esociformes; Esocidae
Source: Ensembl
UUCAAAUCAUGAAUGUCAGAACUAACGGGUCUCUGCUCAUCCACUGCUGGAUCACAGCAGUACUGAUCCUCCUGCUCCUUGGCUCUGGUGCAUUUGCAGACAGCCAGGUGAGAACGUCUGGUAACAUCACAGCAAAGAUUGGUGAGGCGGUAGCCAUGUCUUGUAAGGAACCUGAAGGCGAGACGGUGACUCAGGUUGAAUGGAGGUUUGGAGGCUGCAACGGGCAGAAGAUUCUGGUUUAUAACACCGAAAACCCAGUUGCCCCUGAGAAGGACUAUAUCAACCGUGUCUCUGACGUGACAAGUAAUGGAUACACGUUAUUAAAGGCACAGAACAAGGAUGCUGGUACAUACUGCUGUUCUCUGUCCACCUUCCCCUCUGGGACUAAGACGGGCCUAAUUUAUUUGAAUUUCAGGAAGAACAAACCAGACAGUGAAACUCCUCUCGUAAACAUUGUGUACAUUGUGUGUGGGAUUCUGGGAGUACUGACGCUGGGAGGGUUAAUAACAGGACUACUGCUCUGUAAGAGUUGUAGAACAUCAGUCCAGGACCCGGUCCACGUGGCAGUUCAUCCAGGCAGGCAUCCACACCACCCUCCCUCCAUCCUCCAGAGAAGCCAGGCCCAUCGUGCCCCACCAUCAAAGAGGAUCAGUGAGGUUGAGGACGUGGAGGAGGACGACAGCAUGGACUACUUGAAUGUCACACCUUUUCGACUCCCCAGAAUUCCAUCAACUGCCUCCUCUGCAUCAAGAAGUUAAUAGAUAGAACAGACUCUACCCUAAUACACACGAAAUGUCAUGAAGACAAAGAUUAAAUAAUACACACACAAAUCAAAUACAAAGACAAAUACACUCUCAUAUACUGAAUUUAAUUCACCCAGACUUUAUCAUACACUGAAUAUAAUACACACAGACUUUAUCAUACACUGAAUAUAAUACACACAGACUUAAUCAUACACUGAAUAUAAUACACACAGACUUAAUCAUACACUGAAU